RNAcentral lists this ribosomal RNA (891 nucleotides) under Monascus sp. (in: ascomycete fungi). RNAcentral describes it as "Monascus sp. (in: Fungi) partial large subunit ribosomal RNA". It matches the Rfam family "Eukaryotic large subunit ribosomal RNA", at positions 55 to 964 of the family's 3401-position model. Lineage: Eukaryota; Fungi; Ascomycota; Eurotiomycetes; Eurotiales; Aspergillaceae. The record is from RNAcentral.
GGAAAAGAAACCAACCGGGAUUGCCUCAGUAACGGCGAGUGAAGCGGCAAGAGCUCAAAUUUGAAAGCUGGCCCCUCCGGGGUCCGCGUUGUAAUUUGCAGAGGAUGCUUCGGGCUCAGCCCCCGUCUAAGUGCCCUGGAACGGGCCGUCGGAGAGGGUGAGAAUCCCGUCUGGGACGGGGUGCCUGGGUCCAUGUGAAGCUCCUUCGACGAGUCGAGUUGUUUGGGAAUGCAGCUCUAAAUGGGUGGUAAAUUUCAUCUAAAGCUAAAUACUGGCCGGAGACCGAUAGCGCACAAGUAGAGUGAUCGAAAGAUGAAAAGCACUUUGAAAAGAGAGUUAAACAGCACGUGAAAUUGUUGAAAGGGAAGCGCUUGCGAUCAGACUCGCCUGCGGGGUUCAGCCGGCAUUCGUGCCGGUGUACUUCCCCGUGGGCGGGCCAGCGUCGGUUCGGGUGGCCGGUCAAAGGCCCCGGGAAUGUGUCGCCCUCCGGGGCGUCUUAUAGCCCGGGGUGCCAUGCGGCCUACCUGGACCGAGGAACGCGCUUCGGCUCGGACGCUGGCGUAAUGGUCGUAAGCGACCCGUCUUGAAACACGGACCAAGGAGUCUAACAUCUACGCGAGUGUUUGGGUGGCAAACCCAUACGCGCAGUGAAAGCGAACGGAGGUGGGAACCCUUCGGGGCGCACCAUCGACCGAUCCUGAUGUCUUCGGAUGGAUUUGAGUAAGAGCGUAGCUGUGGGGACCCGAAAGAUGGUGAACUAUGCCUGAAUAGGGCGAAGCCAGAGGAAACUCUGGUGGAGGCUCGCAGCGGUUCUGACGUGCAAAUCGAUCGUCAAAUUUGGGUAUAGGGGCGAAAGACUAAUCGAACCAUCUGGUAGCUGGUUCCUGCCGA